Molecule: ribosomal RNA, 500 nt
Filed under: uncultured bacterium
Lineage: Bacteria
Description: bacterial SSU rRNA
Rfam family: Bacterial small subunit ribosomal RNA
Source: RNAcentral
GACGAACGCUGGCGGCGUGCCUAACACAUGCAAGUCGAGCGGAGAUGUACUGAAGAUUUAUCGGAUGUACAUCUUAGCGGCGGACGGGUGAGUAACGCGUGGGCAACCUGCCUUCCACUGGGGGAUAACACAGGGAAACCUGUGCUAAUACCGCAUGACAUCACAUAGGGCAUCCUGUGUGAUCAAAGGAGUGAUCCGGUGGAAGAUGGGCCCGCGUCCGAUUAGCUAGUUGGUGAGGUAACGGCUCACCAAGGCGACGAUCGGUAGCCGGACUGAGAGGUUGGCCGGCCACAUUGGGACUGAGACACGGCCCAGACUCCUACGGGAGGCAGCAGUGGGGAAUAUUGCGCAAUGGGGGAACCCUGACGCAGCGACGCCGCGUGAAGGAAGAAGGCCUCGGUUGUAACUUCUUGAUGAGGGACGAAGGAAGGUGACGGUACCGUCAAAACAAGACCACGGCGUAACUAACGUGCCAGCAGCCGCGGUAAAAGUCACGUCGC